AGCAGCCGCAGUAAUUUCAGCUCGAAUAGCGUAUAAAGUUGUUGCAGUUAAAAAGCUCAUAGUUGAAUUUUGGGGUUAGUAAGUUGGUCGUGCCUUCAGUAUGUACUGACUUUACUGAUUUCUCUUCUUGACGAACCAUGAUGUCAUUAAUUUGGUGUUGCGGGAAAUCAGAACUGUUAAUUUGAAAAAAUUAGAGUGUUUAAAGCAGGCUAACGCUUGAAUACAUUAGCAUAGAAUAAUGAAGUAGGACGUUAAUCCUAUUUUGUUGGUUUCUAGGAUUGACAUAAUGAUUAAUAGGGAUAGUUGGGCAUUAGUAUUCAAUUGUCAGAUGUGAAAUUCUUGGAUUUAUUGAAGACUAACUACUGCGAAAGCAUUUACCAAGGAUGUUUUCAUUAAUCAAGAACGAAAGUUAGAGGAUCAAAAUGAUCAGAUACCAUCGUAGUCUUAACCAUAAACUAUGCCGACUAGAGAUCAGAUGAUUGUUUAAAUUUUUUAAUGUACUUCAUUUU
Molecule: ribosomal RNA, 509 nt
Filed under: uncultured Glomus
Lineage: Eukaryota; Fungi; Glomeromycota; Glomeromycetes; Glomerales; Glomeraceae
Description: bacterial SSU rRNA
Rfam family: Eukaryotic small subunit ribosomal RNA
Source: RNAcentral